CACAGUUAUUAGAAAUAAUGUGCGAUUUGUCACAUAAACUUGACUUAAUGUUUAUUGCAUCACAGAAAACUCUGUUGGAGCUCACGUGGAAUGGUGGCAUUUUGAUCUUCAGUAAAACGUGCAGCACGAGUUUGCAACAAACUUCAUCGUUUAAAAAAACUCUGUUGGAGCUCACGUGGAAUGGUGGCAUUUUGAUCUUCAGUAAAACGUGCAGCACGAGAUCGCGACAAACUUCAUCGUUUAAAAAAACUCUGUUGGAGCUCACGUGGAAUGGUGGCAUUUUGAUCUUCAGUAAAACGUGCAGCACGAGAUCGCGACAAACUUCAUCGUUUAAACAAAGACACAUCGCCAAUAGACAGACAGACCAGAGGGAUAAAAAUGGGAAUUCUGGCGAUAACUGAGGAUGAUGUCGCCUCUAGCGAAUUGCCAACCUUUCAAAACUUUGCGAUUGUUUUGGAGGAGGCAAUUGUUCUGAAGGACAUUCCAGACCUUCCAUCUGCGGUUUCAUACCUGUUUGGCCUUGUCUUUGCCUUGAAUUUUGAAUACCCCAAAGAACUGAAAUAUACUUUUGAAGUAAUUGAGAAGGUGUUCAUGGAAAUGGGGACUCAGUGCUCUGCGAGGGUACAGUCCUUAAAAACAAAACUCUUGCUGUGAAAGUUAAAUUGUGUGAAUUGAAGUUGGAACAGAGUAUGUUAAAAGGUAAAACAGAUUGUUGAAUUGUUGUGAAUUGUUUACCCAUGUUCAGGUAUGUUUUAAGACUGUUUAAAGGGACACUUCACCCAUUUGCAUUAAGCCUUGUAUAGUUAGAACCCCAGUCAUGUUUUUGAAUGGUCGUGCAUCAUUUCCUCGGUUGCCACUGAGACAGGAGAAAUACAGAUUUCAGUGUUGCACUUCCUUCUUUCAAUGAUGUAAAAAUCAUCAUUUUGCAUCAUUGAAAGAAGGAAGUCCAAUAUCUUUGUUGAGGGGGUGAGACUACAAACACUCCUUUUCUCGGUCAGAUAGGCACCAAAUUCUAAAUGUAUGUUACAUUUUGACUACAAAUAUGACACACUUUCAAUAAAGAUCAAUGUUUCUAUGGGUGAAAUGCUCCUUUAAUGACAUUGUGAUGAUUUUUUGUUGUGAUAUGCACAUUGACACAUUUGCUCUACAAGGGUAUUAUUGCUGAGAACUGUUAAUUUAGUUGUGAGCAUCUUUUUAAUUAAACUAAGAUUAAGACUAAGAUUUUAACAUUAGGACAUUAAUAUUAAAGUUUUUGAAAUGUAACUUUGAAGUCUUACAAUGUCAUUUUAAUUGUUUUGUUUAUUUGUAUGCUUAUUUUUCAUUUUCAGAUUAUUUAUUGUAAUUUUAUUUGUAUUGUAAUUUGUGUUUGUACUUUUUUUACAAAUAUUUUAUACAAAAGUGUAUUUUUGUUAGAAAAAUUUUAAUUUAAUUUUACAUUUCAAAAGGUGGACUGACCAUCCAGUGUUGAACUGCAACGUUUACAUGUUCAUUGAUGUUUUGAUGUUUUAAGCAUUCUAAGGAAUAGAGUCAAAGCUUUUACAUGUGAAAAGGGAUACAUUUAUCUUUAGUUUUUAUGUUUUUAAUUUGUAUUAUUGAUUUUGACAUUUUCCAGUAUUUCUUUAUUUUUAUUAUAUUGACACUCAUAUUUUUUCUGUUAGGAAGUAUGACACUUAUUUGACCUUGUUUUUAUUUCUUUACAGAAUGUUCAAAGUAAACAAAACUUGAAGCAAGCAUUUGGUUUUAUUUUACAAGACUGUGUAAAUGCAAACUAGAACAGAAAAAGUUCACAUAACAUAAUUUGAGUUGUGUCAAAAAAGGAAUUAAGUCCAGUUAACUAACAAAACUGAGUUGGCU
Paramisgurnus dabryanus is the source of this 1854-nucleotide long non-coding RNA. RefSeq lists it as uncharacterized. The record is from RefSeq and is a predicted model, not a curated record. Lineage: Eukaryota; Metazoa; Chordata; Actinopteri; Cypriniformes; Cobitidae.